Molecule: ribosomal RNA, 253 nt
Filed under: uncultured bacterium
Lineage: Bacteria
Description: partial 16S ribosomal RNA
Rfam family: Bacterial small subunit ribosomal RNA
Source: RNAcentral
UACGUAGGGUGCAAGCGUUAAUCGGAAUUACUGGGCGUAAAGCGUGCGCAGGCGGUUAUGUAAGACAGGUGUGAAAUCCCCGGGCUUAACCUGGGAAUGGCAUUUGGGACUGCAAGGCUCGAGUGCGGCAGAGGAGACUGGAAUUCCUGGUGUAGCAGUGAAAUGCGUAGAUAUCAGGAGGAACACCGAUGGCGAAGGCAGGUCUCUGGGCUGACACUGACGCUCAUGCACGAAAGCGUGGGGAGCAAACAGG